This 253-nucleotide ribosomal RNA is filed under the name uncultured bacterium. RNAcentral describes it as "partial 16S ribosomal RNA". It matches the Rfam family "Bacterial small subunit ribosomal RNA", at positions 524 to 776 of the family's 1533-position model. The record is from RNAcentral.
UACGUAGGUGGCAAGCGUUGUCCGGAAUUACUGGGUGUAAAGGGAGCGCAGGCGGGAAGCCAAGUCAGCUGUGAAAACUACGGGCUUAACUUGUAGACUGCAGUUGAAACUGGUUUUCUUGAGUGAAGUAGAGGUUGGCGGAAUUCCGAGUGUAGCGGUGAAAUGCGUAGAUAUUCGGAGGAACGCCGGUGGCGAAGGCGGCCAACUGGGCUUUAACUGACGCUGAGGCUCGAAAGUGUGGGGAGCAAACAGG